CUCCUAAAUUCUCAUAUAAUUUCAUCAUGUUGUUGUGCAUGCAGGACAGCUUGUCAUAUUGCUCUCGUGCAUUCUCAGCAAAGGCGCUCAUCUUCUCUACAAACUUAUCAUGCUCAUCUUCUGUUUUAGGGAAAUUCUUAAUGUCACUUUCUAAGCGUUGGAUCUGUUUGUUCAUCGAGUCAAGGUUGCUCUUAAGAGUUUUGUCUGAAACUUUACUUGCACUCUCAACGUGCUGCAGGUCAUCUGUGAAUUUUAAGAUAUCU
This 263-nucleotide long non-coding RNA is filed under the name Gallus gallus (chicken). The record is from RNAcentral. Lineage: Eukaryota; Metazoa; Chordata; Aves; Galliformes; Phasianidae.